RNAcentral lists this ribosomal RNA (862 nucleotides) under Salmonella enterica subsp. enterica serovar Typhimurium. RNAcentral describes it as "partial 23S ribosomal RNA". It matches the Rfam family "Bacterial large subunit ribosomal RNA", at positions 1941 to 2802 of the family's 2925-position model. The record is from RNAcentral. Lineage: Bacteria; Pseudomonadati; Pseudomonadota; Gammaproteobacteria; Enterobacterales; Enterobacteriaceae.
UAUAACGGUCCUAAGGUAGCGAAAUUCCUUGUCGGGUAAGUUCCGACCUGCACGAAUGGCGUAAUGAUGGCCAGGCUGUCUCCACCCGAGACUCAGUGAAAUUGAACUCGCUGUGAAGAUGCAGUGUACCCGCGGCAAGACGGAAAGACCCCGUGAACCUUUACUAUAGCUUGACACUGAACAUUGAGCCUUGAUGUGUAGGAUAGGUGGGAGGCUUUGAAGUGUGGACGCCAGUCUGCAUGGAGCCGACCUUGAAAUACCACCCUUUAAUGUUUGAUGUUCUAACGUGGACCCGUAAUCCGGGUUGCGGACAGUGUCUGGUGGGUAGUUUGACUGGGGCGGUCUCCUCCUAAAGAGUAACGGAGGAGCACGAAGGUUGGCUAAUCCUGGUCGGACAUCAGGAGGUUAGUGCAAUGGCAUAAGCCAGCUUGACUGCGAGCGUGACGGCGCGAGCAGGUGCGAAAGCAGGUCAUAGUGAUCCGGUGGUUCUGAAUGGAAGGGCCAUCGCUCAACGGAUAAAAGGUACUCCGGGGAUAACAGGCUGAUACCGCCCAAGAGUUCAUAUCGACGGCGGUGUUUGGCACCUCGAUGUCGGCUCAUCACAUCCUGGGGCUGAAGUAGGUCCCAAGGGUAUGGCUGUUCGCCAUUUAAAGUGGUACGCGAGCUGGGUUUAGAACGUCGUGAGACAGUUCGGUCCCUAUCUGCCGUGGGCGCUGGAGAACUGAGGGGGGCUGCUCCUAGUACGAGAGGACCGGAGUGGACGCAUCACUGGUGUUCGGGUUGUCAUGCCAAUGGCACUGCCCGGUAGCUAAAUGCGGAAGAGAUAAGUGCUGAAAGCAUCUAAGCACGAAACUUGCCCCGA